RNAcentral lists this ribosomal RNA (253 nucleotides) under uncultured bacterium. Its description in RNAcentral is "partial 16S ribosomal RNA". It matches the Rfam family "Bacterial small subunit ribosomal RNA", at positions 524 to 776 of the family's 1533-position model. The record is from RNAcentral.
CACGUAGGGCGCAAGCGUUGUCCGGAAUUACUGGGCGUAAAGGGCUCGUAGGCGGCCAACUAAGUCAUACGUGAAAUCCCCCGGCUUAACCGGGGAACUGCGUCUGAUACUGGAUGGCUUGAGUUCGGGAGAGGGAUGCGGAAUUCCAGGUGUAGCGGUGAAAUGCGUAGAUAUCUGGAGGAACACCGGUGGCGAAGGCGGCAUCCUGGACCGAUACUGACGCUGAGGAGCGAAAGCCAGGGGAGCAAACGGG